RNAcentral lists this ribosomal RNA (242 nucleotides) under Acinetobacter pittii. RNAcentral's name for it is "partial 23S ribosomal RNA". It matches the Rfam family "Bacterial large subunit ribosomal RNA", at positions 545 to 790 of the family's 2925-position model. The record is from RNAcentral. Lineage: Bacteria; Pseudomonadati; Pseudomonadota; Gammaproteobacteria; Moraxellales; Moraxellaceae.
AGAUCCUGAAACCGCAUGCAUACAAGCAGUGGGAGCACCUUCGUGGUGUGACUGCGUACCUUUUGUAUAAUGGGUCAGCGACUUAUAUUCAGUAGCAAGGUUAACCGUAUAGGGGAGCCGUAGGGAAACCGAGUCUUAAUAGGGCAUUUAGUUGCUGGGUAUAGACCCGAAACCAGGCGAUCUAUCCAUGAGCAGGUUGAAGGUUGGGUAACACUAACUGGAGGACCGAACCCACUGUCGUU